RNAcentral lists this non-coding RNA (48 nucleotides) under Schistosoma bovis. Lineage: Eukaryota; Metazoa; Platyhelminthes; Trematoda; Strigeidida; Schistosomatidae. The record is from RNAcentral. RNAcentral also lists the same sequence under 1 other name.
AUCCAGCUGACGAGUCCCAAAUGGGGCGAAACGUGCGUCAAACUGGAU